RNAcentral lists this unclassified non-coding RNA (274 nucleotides) under uncultured Pyronemataceae. RNAcentral's name for it is "sequence contains 5.8S rRNA gene". The stretch from base 1 to 53 matches the Rfam family "5.8S ribosomal RNA", at positions 102 to 154 of the family's 154-position model. The record is from RNAcentral. Lineage: Eukaryota; Fungi; Ascomycota; Pezizomycetes; Pezizales; Pyronemataceae.
GAACGCACAUUGCGCCUUCCGGUAUUCCGGAAGGCAUGCCUGUUCGAGCGUCAUAUAAAAACCUCAAGCAUGAAUUUAUUCUUACUUGGUAUUGGUCAAGGAUUGAGCUUGCCUUCUUCCUGUCCGAAAUGCAAUGGCGAAGUUCUGUCUUCCAUUCAGUGUAGUAAUCAACGUUAUGUUUCACUUCUGGACAUGAGAGGCUUCUGCUACAAAUUAAAUUCCCCAAUUCUAAAGUUUGACCUCGGAUCAGGUAGGGAUACCCGCUGAACUUAAG